Molecule: transfer RNA, 69 nt
Filed under: marine eukaryotic metagenome
Rfam family: tRNA
About the family: Transfer RNA (tRNA) molecules are approximately 80 nucleotides in length. Their secondary structure includes four short double-helical elements and three loops (D, anti-codon, and T loops).
Source: RNAcentral
CGGUUUAGCUCAGCUGGUAGAGCAGCGGUUUUGUAAACCGAAGGUCGGGGGUUCGAUUCCCUCAACCGG